UGCGAGGAAGAAAUACGCCGGCGUACACACGUGUCUCGGACCCUGCAUACAUGAUAGGGACAGUCAGCUAGUAGCUAGUGAGCUAAAAUAAAAUAACCUUAUCUAGCUAGCCACUUGAUUACUCGACCAUGGACCUACCUGCAGAUAUCAAAGCGUUCCUUAUGAAUCACCCAUUUCUUGAAUUUACGGAUGACGGUAAAAAGAUUAAAUGCACACUCAAUGGACAUGAUUGUCCUUGCAACCUCACAGAGCUCCAGAACUUCACGAAAGGGAAGAAAUAUCAGAAACUAAGUUCUACCGCAGAGUUCAACUAUGGUCAAUAUGAACCUCAUGUUGUGCCCAGCUCGAAGCAACCCAAUCAUCUCUUCUGCAAGUUAACACUCAGACAUAUCAAUCGCCUGCCACACCAGGUCUUACGGCAUGUCAAUGGCAAGCGGUUCCAAAAAGCAAAGAAGAAAUAUGAAGCGUGUGUACAACAGGGAGUGGAGUACAUUCCAGCCAGCCUCCGACAGAAGAAGCCCAGAGAUAGAGAUGGUGAGAGGGGACGCAACACCCAUCGGGGGAAUACCCAGCGGGGGAAUGUAGCGUGGGCUCCUGACUCCAGCGACGAGGGUGGCAGCGACUCCGAGGACAGCAUGAGUGACCUGUACCCAUCCUCUUUAUUUUCUCUGCAAAAAGAGACUGAGGAGGAUAUGGAGGCGGAAAAAGAGGAUGACUUUAAAACGGAUGACGAUGAGGAGAUGGAAGUUGAUAAACAGGCGCCACAGAAACGCAAAAAGGUUCAGUCUGGUGGAUUCCAGAAGAAAUUCAAGAAUCAUAACUUGAAAAGAAAAGGUUUAAAGACCAAUGUGAAAGUAAAAAAUGUAAAAUAAAGGUAGCUUGCCUGGCUGGUCGCCGCAACAUCAACAAACAAAUGGAUGAAGGACAACACAAAGACAGUUUAAUGCAAAUUGUAUUCGCAUACUGCCGAGUCUACUUUUUAAGUGAUGUUUAUGAGAUAUAUAUGUAUAAAAAAAAGUUGGGAGCCAACAAUAUCUCCUAAACUGAGAACAUUGGCAGGAGGCAUCUUGGGUCCUUGCUCUCAACAGUUGUUAGCCAUGAUAACUUCAUCCCCAAGGUUCACGUGGUGUGACUGUCGCAAACACAAGAUUCAUGUCAAAGACACCAAUGAGCUGUGCCUGCAAUGUCUGGGCAUCCAACAUGCCAAGGAGGCUGUUCUGGAGUAUGGGAAAUGCCCCCAGUGUGCCAAGAUGGACUGGAGCAACUGCAUCAACCGCCUCACCAAAGUUCAGGAGAUAAUGCACCAUGAGAGCCAGCAGAGGAAGCAUGAGGCAGCACUGUCUGAAGUUAAGCUCAAGUCUGAGACCACCUCAGCUCCCAUCAAGGAACCAAAACUGGAGGAAGACCCAGUCCCCAUUCUGCCUCCACCUCGGCCCUCUACUACCACACCUGUCUAUUCGUCCACCAUGCCAGUGUUGUUCACCAUCCUCUCCCCGCACCCAGCGCAGACAGGGCCCAAUUCCAGCAUCCCAAAAGACACUUUCCUCUCACAACUUGCUAUUCAGCAGUCAGCUGACCACCCCAUCCAUGAGCCAAUCAGGUUCCCACAUGCUGACUUCCAGGGUUCGGCAAACAACACCAUUUCUCAAAAUGCCGCUCGCACUGCACCAAGCACUUCAAACGGAGCCGUGGUAGCCUCCGGCGGAGACGCUCUCCAUCUUCCUCGUCUUCCUCCUCCUACUGACUUCUGCUCCUCUGGAAAGUGGAGGAGGUCUCAGAGAGAGUCGCGGCAGGCUGUCCGGUCAGAGAGGAGACACAGGGAGCAGGUGGAGAUGGUUCAACAGAGACUAGAGGCCCAGCAACAGGCCACCCAGCUACAGUGGGCAGUUCUGGAGAAGUGCAUUGAGGCUCUGGAGAGGAAAGGUGCAGAAGCUGUUGUGUCAUUCCCCACUUCAGCCCAAACUACACAUCUUCAUGCCUCCAUCCCUCAGGCAUCCACCUUGUCUCAGGAAAGCGAGCAGAGAGACUUAUCUCCCAUACCAUUGUGAAGCAGGAAGAGGAGCCCUCCUCCAUCUCAUCUGCCUUGAGACCUUUCAGGGAUGUGGAAGGGGAGGAUGCCUCUCCGUCAACUGAUGGUCCUAUCUCCAAACAGGACUUACUGGCAGCUAAGGAGCUUCAGAGCCUCAUAGCACGAGCCGCCAAGUAUCUUGGCAUAGACUUCACCAACCAGCUCUAGCCCACCAGACUCUACCAUGGUUCCAGAGUUUGAGGACCUGGUUCAGUGCUCUUGGCCAAACCCUGCCAGCUUGAAGCCGUACAGGGAGCUGUUCUCCAAGAUGUACAGGCUUCACAACUGCCAGUCUCCAGCCUACAACCAGAUGCCUCAGGUCAACUGCUUUAUGUCGGCCAUCUUCCAGGCGAUGAAGCCCACAGAGAACAAGGAGGCGCCGGUCCUGGCUGAGCGAUUGCGUUUCACUGAGACUCUAGUAGAGAAGAUGUACCAGACUGCUAGCAUGUUUGCCAAGACGGCCAACUACCUGCGCUACCUAUCCGACUACCAGAGGAGGCUGCUGCUGGAGAUCACUGAGGAUCGUUCAGCACAGAGUUAUGUGGCGAUCCUCAAUGAGCUGAAGAUCAUUGGCCAGUUCACGCUUCAGCUGUCCUCCCACCUAGGCUGAACUGUCUGGAAGGGUCAUGGCUUCUUCUGUAGCCAUCCGAAGACCGGUCUGGAUGGCCAAGACCAACUACACAGACUCUGAAAGCCACUGUGGCUGACCUUCCAUUUGUGUCAGUCACACCUAUGGGGUCAGCUCAGCUUCAGGCCCUAGCGCGACUGGAAUGAUGUGCAAACAGGAACCGUCGUAAUGGCUACUUGUUGCAGGUGUAAAAAGUGUGAGAAGUAUUUACUUUUACCUGUACUAAAUGGGUUGAGACCACUAAAUUAUUCACUUGUAGAUAUGCAAAUAUUCUCUAUAGUCUUAUUGGACAGUUUUUUAUUUAACCGGGCAAAUCAGUUAAGAACAAAUACUUAUUUACAAUGACAGCCUACCCCGGAUUACACUGGGCCAAUUCUGCGCUGCCCUAUGGGACUCCCAAUCUAAACCAGAUGUGAUGCAGCCUGGAUUUGAACCAGGGACUGCAGUGACGCCUCUUGCACUGAGAUGCCGUGCCUUAAACCGCUGUGUCACUCGGACAUGAACAGUUCAAUGAACUUUGAUAGUGUUUACUUUAUCAAGGAAUUUUGCAACUGUUGAACAAAGGCAGUGUAGUGUCUGUCUCUACUGCAUUGACUGC
Molecule: RNA transcript, 3294 nt
Organism: Salvelinus namaycush (lake trout)
Lineage: Eukaryota; Metazoa; Chordata; Actinopteri; Salmoniformes; Salmonidae
Gene name: surfeit locus protein 2-like
Exons: 8
Source: RefSeq, a predicted model, not a curated record